RNAcentral lists this ribosomal RNA (940 nucleotides) under Rheinheimera sp. C3-4m. RNAcentral's name for it is "bacterial SSU rRNA". It matches the Rfam family "Bacterial small subunit ribosomal RNA", at positions 42 to 992 of the family's 1533-position model. Lineage: Bacteria; Pseudomonadati; Pseudomonadota; Gammaproteobacteria; Chromatiales; Chromatiaceae. The record is from RNAcentral.
GCAGCCUACACAUGCAGUCGAGCGGGGUUUUCGGACCUAGCGGCGGACGGGUGAGUAAUGCGUAGGAAGCUGCCCGAUAGAGGGGGAUACCAGUUGGAAACGACUGUUAAUACCGCAUAAUGUCUACGGACCAAAGUGUGGGACCUUCGGGCCACAUGCUAUCGGAUGCGCCUACGUGGGAUUAGCUAGUUGGUGAGGUAAUGGCUCACCAAGGCGACGAUCUCUAGCUGGUUUGAGAGGAUGAUCAGCCACACUGGAACUGAGACACGGUCCAGACUCCUACGGGAGGCAGCAGUGGGGAAUAUUGGACAAUGGGCGCAAGCCUGAUCCAGCCAUGCCGCGUGUGUGAAGAAGGCCUUCGGGUUGUAAAGCACUUUCAGCGAGGAGGAAGGGUGGUGUGUUAAUAGCACAUCAUUUUGACGUUACUCGCAGAAGAAGCACCGGCUAACUCUGUGCCAGCAGCCGCGGUAAUACAGAGGGUGCAAGCGUUAAUCGGAAUUACUGGGCGUAAAGCGCACGUAGGCGGUUUUUUAAGUCAGAUGUGAAAGCCCCGGGCUCAACCUGGGAAUUGCAUUUGAAACUGGGGAACUAGAGUGUGUGAGAGGGGGGUAGAAUUCCAAGUGUAGCGGUGAAAUGCGUAGAGAUUUGGAGGAAUACCAGUGGCGAAGGCGGCCCCCUGGCACAACACUGACGCUCAGGUGCGAAAGCGUGGGGAGCAAACAGGAUUAGAUACCCUGGUAGUCCACGCCGUAAACGAUGUCUACUAGCUGUUCGUGUCCUUGUGAUGUGAGUAGCGCAGCUAACGCACUAAGUAGACCGCCUGGGGAGUACGGUCGCAAGAUUAAAACUCAAAUGAAUUGACGGGGGCCCGCACAAGCGGUGGAGCAUGUGGUUUAAUUCGACGCAACGCGAAGAACCUUACCUACUCUUGACAUCUACG